RNAcentral lists this ribosomal RNA (496 nucleotides) under uncultured bacterium. RNAcentral's name for it is "partial 16S ribosomal RNA". It matches the Rfam family "Bacterial small subunit ribosomal RNA", at positions 28 to 506 of the family's 1533-position model. The record is from RNAcentral.
GAUGAACGCUGGCGGCGUGCCUAAUACAUGCAAGUCGAGCGAACAGACGAGGAGCUUGCUCCUCUGACGUUAGCGGCGGACGGGUGAGUAACACGUGGAUAACCUACCUAUAAGACUGGGAUAACUUCGGGAAACCGGAGCUAAUACCGGAUAAUAUAUUGAACCGCAUGGUUCAAUAGUGAACGACGGUUUUGCUGUCACUUAUAGAUGGAUCCGCGCCGCAUUAGCUAGUUGGUAAGGUAACGGCUUACCAAGGCAACGAUGCGUAGCCGACCUGAGAGGGUGAUCGGCCACACUGGAACUGAGACACGGUCCAGACUCCUACGGGAGGCAGCAGUAGGGAAUCUGCCGCAAUGGGCGAAAGCCUGACGGAGCAACGCCGCGUGAGUGAUGAAGGUCUUCGGAUCGUAAAACUCUGUUAUUAGGAAAGAACAAAUGUGUAAGUAACUAUGCACGUCUUGACGGUACCUAAUCAGAAAGCCACGGCUAACUACGU